UUCCUCCACUACUCCAAACCCAGCUGUUUUAAGGAGAAGAUGAUUAGAAAUAAGACUGAGGUCUCUCUGUCCUCAAUGACUACCAAAGGCCAAAUAUACCAGUCCCUACUAGUCUGAGUAAGCCUGAUGCUUUUAUUUUGGAGUGGAUCAAUUCAUACUUACUGACUGAUAAGCACCUACUGCGUGUGAUGGUUUCACUUGGACCUUUCUGUGUCACUGUCUCAGAGAGCCAGCAUAAAAGCUAGCACUCUGGCGCUUGAUGCUAUUGCUCACAGAACUACAAAGACAUCUCAGAGUGUGCCCUUCACUGGCACACACCAUGAUGGUUUUUCUCCUCAAGCACCUGCACACGUGGGAUGUACAA
Mustela erminea (ermine) is the source of this 364-nucleotide long non-coding RNA. RefSeq lists it as uncharacterized. NCBI's taxonomy places the organism in Eukaryota, Metazoa, Chordata, Mammalia, Carnivora, Mustelidae. The transcript has 4 exons. The record is from RefSeq and is a predicted model, not a curated record.